RNAcentral lists this long non-coding RNA (2839 nucleotides) under Coffea arabica (coffee). RNAcentral describes it as "long non-coding RNA (CARA_LNC003552)". The record is from RNAcentral. Lineage: Eukaryota; Viridiplantae; Streptophyta; Magnoliopsida; Gentianales; Rubiaceae.
CCGAGCUCGGUAACGUGGGCUUUCACCCAAGUGGGGGGCAAGGGCAUGGACUCGGUUGCUGGCAGCACAAAAAAAUUCCACAUUCCACAUUCCACGAUUUAAAAAAAAAAAAUCAAUGAAUUAAAAAAACGUUGCAGCAACUGGGACCAUUCCCUUUUCUUCAUUUUUCGUGUUUAAGCCACAAAUAAACUACAGAAAUUUAGCUAGCUAGAUUUGCAAUGUUUUUGUAUGUGUAUGUAAUCCCAUAGAUAGCAAGCGUCAUAUCAAAAUGUUUAUAUGGUAAGGGGUUACGAUUAGGUUUCUUAAUGUUUAUAUUGUCUGCUCUGUUUGAUAUUUCUUUUUUCUAUCAUUUUCAGUAGUUAAUCAAUACUUUUUCUAUUGAAUAAUAUUGUACAUGUUCUAGCUGCUGUGGAGUGAUUGUCUAACUUAGCAGAAUGGUUUGUUAAUUUAGUUGGUAAUCCUUUUUGGAAAUUGAAAAAUGUAAUGACAAUAAUGGAAGUAGUUCAUGACUUGCUAGAUUCUAUCCCACAUCGACAUCAUCAGUGGCUCCAAGUUGGUAAAUAAAGUUCAUUUCCUUAUCCUACGAAUGCUAGGCUCAGUAACAUGGGCUUGUACCCCAAGUGGGGGCAUUAAGGGUAUGGAAUCAGUUGCUUGCAACCCAAAAAAAUUCCACAUUCCAGUAUCUAAAAAAUAGACAUGAAUGAAUUCAAAAAUGUUGCAGCUGGUUGGACCAUUACCUUUUCUUCAUUUUUGCUGUUUAAGGCACAAUGAAACUGUAGAAAUUUAGCUAGCUAGCGUUUGCAAUAUUUUUGUUUGUGUUCAUAAUCCUGUAGAUAGCAAGCAGGUUCAUUUUUCCAGUUUAAGGCACAAUGAAACUAUAGAAAUUUUGCUAGCUAGUGUUUGCAAUAGUUUUGUAUGUAUACAUAAUCUCAUAGAUAGUAAGCAGGUGUUAUAUCACAAUGUUUAUAUGGUAAGGGAUUAUGAUUAGUUUUCUUAUUGUUUAUGUUGUCUGCUCUGCUUGAUAUUUCUUUUUUUCUGUCAUUUUCAGUGGUUAAUCAAUCCUUUUUCUGCAGAAUAAUGUUGUACAUAUUGUAGCUGCUGUGGUGUGAUUAUAUAAUUUAGCAGAAUGGUUUGUUAAUUUAGCUGAUAAUCCUUUUUGGAAAUUGAAAAAUGUAACGACAAUAAGGGAACUUGUUCAUGACUUGCUAGAUUCUAUCCCACAUCGACGCUAUCAGUGCCUCCAAUUCAGUAUAUAAAUUUCAUUUCCUUAUCCCACGAUUGCCGAGCUCGGUAACGUGGGCUUUCACCCAAGUGGGGGGCAAGGGCAUGGUCUCGGUUGCUGGCAGCACAAAAAUUCCACAUUCCACAUUCCACGAUCUAAAAAAUAAAAAUCAAUGAAUUAAAAAAAAACAUUGCAGCAACUGGGACCAUUCCCUUUUCUUCAUUUUUCCUGUGUAAGCCACAAAUAAACUGUAGAAAUUUAGCUGGCUAGCGUUUGAAAUAUUUUUGUAGGUGUGCAUAAUCCCAUAGAUAGCAAGCGUCAUAUCAAAAUGUUUAUAUGGUAAGGGGUUACGAUUAGGUUUCUUGUUGUUUAUAUUGUCUGCUCUGUUUGAUAUUUCUUUUUUCUAUCAUUUUUAGUGGUUAAUCAAUACUUUUUCUGUUGAAUAAUGUUGUAUGUGUUGUAGCUGCUGUGGGGUGAUUGUAUAACUUAAUAGAAUGGUUUGUUAAUUCAGCUGAUAAUCCUUUUUGGAAAUUGAAAAAUGUAAUGACAAUAACGGAAGUAGUUCAUGACUUGCUAGAUUCUAUUCCACAUCGACAUCAUCAGUGGCUCCAAUUUGGUAUAUAAAGUUCAUUUCCUUAUCCUACGAAUGCUAGGCUCGGUAAUGUGGGUUUGUACCCCGAGUGGGGGCAUUAAGGGUAUGGAAUCAAUUGCUUGCAACCCAAAAAAAUUCCACAUUCCACUAUCUAAAAAAUAGAAAUGAAUGAAUUCAAAAAUGUUGCAGCUGGUUGGACCAUUACCUCCUUCAUUUUUGCUGUUUAAGGCACAAUGAAACUGUAGAAAUUUAGCUAGCUAGCAUUUGCAGUGUUUUUGUAUGUGUACAUAAUCCCAUAGAUAGCAAACAGGUUCAUUUUUCCUACUUAAGCCACAAGGAAACUACAGAAAUUUGGCUAGCUAGUGUUUGCAAUAUUUUUGUAUGUAUACAUAAUCCCAUAGAUAGUAAGCAGGCGUCAUAUAACAAUGUUUAUAAGGUAAGGGGUUAUGAUUAGGUUUCUUAUUGUUUAUGUUGUCUGCUUUGUUUGAUAUUUCUUUUUUUUCUGUCAUAUUCGGUGGUUAAUCAAUACUUUUUCUGCUGAAUAAUGUUGUACAUAUUGUAGCUGCUGUGGAGUGAUUAUAUAAUUUACCAGAAUGGUUUGUUAAUUUAGCUGAUAAUCCUUUUUGGAAAUUGAAAAAUGUAACGACAAUAAGGGAACUAGUUCAUGACCUGCUAGAUUCUAUCCCACAUCGACGCAACCAGUGCCUCCAAUUCAGUAUAUAAAGUUCAUUUCCUUAUCCCACGAUCGCCGAGCUCGGUAAUGUGAGCUUUCACCCAAGUGGGGGGCAAGGGCAUGGACUCAGUUGCUGGCAGCCCAAAAAAAUUCCACAUUCCACGUUCCACGAUUUAAAAAAUAAAAAUCAAUGAAUUAAAAAAACGUUGCAGCAACUGGGACCAUUCCCUUUUCUUCAUUUUUCCUGUUUAAGCCACAAUUAAACUAUAGAAAUUUAGCUAGCUUGCGCUUGCAAUAUUUUUGUAUGUGUGCAUAAUUCUAUAGAUAGCAAGAGUCAUAUCACAAUGUUUAU